UACGAAGGGGGCUAGCGUUGCUCGGAAUUACUGGGCGUAAAGCGCACGUAGGCGGCUCUUUAAGUCGGAGGUGAAAUCCUGGAGCUCAACUCCAGAACUGCCUUCGAUACUGUAGAGCUUGAGUUCGGGAGAGGUGAGUGGAACUGCGAGUGUAGAGGUGAAAUUCGUAGAUAUUCGCAAGAACACCAGUGGCGAAGGCGGCUCACUGGCCCGGUACUGACGCUGAGGUGCGAAAAGCGUGGGGAGCAAACAGG
RNAcentral lists this ribosomal RNA (254 nucleotides) under uncultured bacterium. Its description in RNAcentral is "partial 16S ribosomal RNA". It matches the Rfam family "Bacterial small subunit ribosomal RNA", at positions 524 to 776 of the family's 1533-position model. The record is from RNAcentral.